AAAGAGGGGAAAGUGAAAUGAGAGAGAGAGAGAAUAGGCGAAGAAGAAAAGGGAGGAGAAGGAGAAGAAGAUGAAGACAGAAGACGAAGACGAAGACGAAGACGAAGAAGAAGAAGAGAGCAGACGAAGAAUACCUCAGCUUCUUCAAUUGAUCUGAACAGGGUAGAAAUGUCGAUGCCUUGAUUUUGUAUUGACAAUCUGUGCCCUCUCUGUCUCAGAUCCAAAUAUGAUUUUCCUUUGCCCUAUAGGGUGUUGUGGACCGAAAAUCAUGGCUGCUUAUGGAAUUUCAGGACAUUUUUAUUGGAUUUUCAUGGAGAAACAUUUCUGAUGCUCCUUGUCAUCGCAUCUUCCAUUGCCGUGUGGUUUAACUAGAUCUUCACAAAGACACAUUGUGGUGAGGUUUUCUUUUGUUGGUUUACAAGUACAUGUAGAAAAGAUGUGAAAAAGUUUAAUAUUGCACUCUAGUACACAACUUAUGGGCUUAUUACUAAUGUGAUUAAAGCUGCUUUGGUUUGCAAAUUCAAUGUCAUGUUUAAAUGUU
Long non-coding RNA from Camellia sinensis, 541 nucleotides. RefSeq lists it as uncharacterized. NCBI's taxonomy places the organism in Eukaryota, Viridiplantae, Streptophyta, Magnoliopsida, Ericales, Theaceae. The record is from RefSeq and is a predicted model, not a curated record.